ACAGAGAUGGCGACCGUUGUUCGGAAUCACUGGGCUUAAAGGGCACGUAGGCGGUAAGAAAAGUUGGGUGUGAAAUACUCUGGCUUACCCAGAGAAAAGCAAACAAAACUAUCUUACUUGAGGACGGUAGGGGAGAGUGGAACUCUUGGUGGAGCGGUGAAAUGCGUUGAUAUCAGGAGGAACGCCGGAGGUGAAAACGACUCUCUAGACCGGAACUGACGCUGAGGUGCGAAAGCCAGGGGAGCAAACGG
RNAcentral lists this ribosomal RNA (251 nucleotides) under uncultured prokaryote. Its description in RNAcentral is "partial 16S rRNA". It matches the Rfam family "Bacterial small subunit ribosomal RNA", at positions 525 to 775 of the family's 1533-position model. The record is from RNAcentral.